This 253-nucleotide ribosomal RNA is filed under the name uncultured bacterium. RNAcentral describes it as "partial 16S ribosomal RNA". It matches the Rfam family "Bacterial small subunit ribosomal RNA", at positions 524 to 776 of the family's 1533-position model. The record is from RNAcentral.
UACGUAGGGUGCGAGCGUUGUCCGGAAUCAUUGGGCGUAAAGCGCGUGUAGGCGGCCAGGUAAGUCCGUUCUGAAAGCCCGGGGCUCAACCCCGGGAGGCGGAUGGAUACUGCUUGGCUCGAGUCCGGAAGAGGCGAGUGGAAUUCCCGGUGUAGCGGUGAAAUGCGCAGAUAUCGGGAGGAACACCAAUGGCGAAGGCAGCUCGCUGGGACGGUACUGACGCUGAGACGCGAAAGCGUGGGGAGCAAACAGG